UACGUAGGGUGCGAGCGUUGUCCGGAAUUAUUGGGCGUAAAGGGCUCGUAGGCGGUCUGUCGCGUCGGGAGUGAAAACUCAGGGCUUAACCCUGAGCCUGCUUCCGAUACGGGCAGACUAGAGGUAUGCAGGGGAGAACGGAAUUCCUGGUGUAGCGGUGAAAUGCGUAGAUAUCUGGAGGAAUACCGGUGGCGAAGGCGGCAUCCUGGACCGACAUUGACGCUGAGGAGCGAAAGCUAGGGGAGCAAACGGG
This 253-nucleotide ribosomal RNA is filed under the name uncultured bacterium. RNAcentral describes it as "partial 16S ribosomal RNA". It matches the Rfam family "Bacterial small subunit ribosomal RNA", at positions 524 to 776 of the family's 1533-position model. The record is from RNAcentral.